This 329-nucleotide ribosomal RNA is filed under the name Clostridioides difficile. Its description in RNAcentral is "bacterial SSU rRNA". It matches the Rfam family "Bacterial small subunit ribosomal RNA", at positions 133 to 480 of the family's 1533-position model. Lineage: Bacteria; Bacillati; Bacillota; Clostridia; Peptostreptococcales; Peptostreptococcaceae. The record is from RNAcentral.
GUACACACGGAUAACAUACCGAAAGGUAUGCUAAUACGGGAUAACAUAUUUGAGAGGCAUCUCUUAAAUAUCAAAGGUGAGCCAGUACAGGAUGGACCCGCGUCUGAUUAGCUAGUUGGUAAGGUAACGGCUUACCAAGGCGACGAUCAGUAGCCGACCUGAGCGGGUGAUCGGCCACAUUGGAACUGAGACACGGUCCAAACUCCUACGGGAGGCAGCAGUGGGGAAUAUUGCACAAUGGGCGAAAGCCUGAUGCAGCAACGCCGCGUGAGUGAUGAAGGCCUUCGGGUCGUAAAACUCUGUCCUCAAGGAAGAUAAUGACGGUACUU